This is a long non-coding RNA of Alosa sapidissima (American shad), 827 nucleotides long. RefSeq lists it as uncharacterized. Lineage: Eukaryota; Metazoa; Chordata; Actinopteri; Clupeiformes; Clupeidae. The record is from RefSeq and is a predicted model, not a curated record. The transcript has 5 exons.
CCCUGCAGAGGGUGGGGUGUGGCAUAGGCCUGUCGGUGAAGAAGGUCUGACUCUGGAUGCGAUGACCUGGAGCUUCCAUAGACCAGACUGAGGUGGAAAGAGAGAGUUUGCAACGUCGCUCUCUCCUUGUCUGCUGCUGCCAGACUGUCUCUGCUCCGUUUCUGCUGGGACCAAAGUCUGGGAGUUUGCAACUGAAGAGAGCCCUAGAAAGGUCUUCUAGUUUUCAUCCUCAGAGGCCACUCAACUUAGUCCACAGACACGCCGUCCCAACCACACUCCCCUCUCUAUCACCACUACACGUCAACAUGCCCGAGGUCGAAGUCCCAGCCCAGUGCCUGGCUCCUAAAGCAGAGAUGGACAAGUGUGUCCAGGGGAAAGGAGCAGAGGCCUGCAAGGACCUUAUGGAAGCCUUCCAGACAUGUGUGAAGAGUGCUUCUUCGUGAGCGAGAUCCAUGCUUCCACAUCACAAGUCCAUCAUUUUGGUUUUUGAGGGGUUGAGUCUACCAAUUUCCCAGCAUUCCCUGAUGCACAUUGCACUGGACUAAACCAUCUUUGGGACGGAAGUGGGGGUGUUGAUCUUCAGGAGGCCAUGGCAAGCCCCCCUCUUAAUCCUGCCAUACCAUGUUUGUGUCCCUAUUAUAGUUCAUGUAUAUAUGUGCCCAAAAAAUUGAUUUUAAAUGUCAUAUUGUCUGUGUACAUGCACUGUACAUGUCAUUUCAUUAUGAAUUAAGUUUAUGCACUGGCAGUAGCCUAAGUGAAUGCAAUUUCAGAGCGAUAUGUCUUUUAAUAGGGUGUCUGGUUCUAUAAUAAUAAAAGACUUAAAACAA